RNAcentral lists this unclassified non-coding RNA (354 nucleotides) under soil metagenome. Its description in RNAcentral is "partial contains 5.8S ribosomal RNA, internal transcribed spacer 2, and large subunit ribosomal RNA". The stretch from base 1 to 120 matches the Rfam family "5.8S ribosomal RNA", at positions 35 to 154 of the family's 154-position model. The record is from RNAcentral.
GAUGAAGAACGCAGCGAAAUGCGAUAAGUAAUGUGAAUUGCAGAAUUCAGUUAAUCAUCGAAUCUUUGAACGCACAUUGCGCCCAUUAGUAUUCUAGUGGGCAUGCCUGUUCGAGCGUCAUUAAGUCCACUUAAGCCCUGCUUAGUGUUGGGAGACUGCUCCAGCGGUGCUACCCUGUAGCUACCCUGCAGCUCCUCAAAGACAGCGGCGGAGUUGUGGUAUCCUCUGAGCUUAGUAACUUGUUCUAGCUUUCGAGUACACCACUUCCCCUGCCGUAAAACCCUUAAUUUUUAAUGGUUGACCUCGGAUCAGGUAGGAAUACCCGCUGAACUUAAGCAUAUCAAUAAGCGGAGA